UGGGGAUUGGGCGCCUGUGAAGAAGGUGGAUAUAUAACAAUAACGGUUAUAUAUAUAUAAUAUAUACGGCACUUUCCCAACCACAAAAAAAUGUCAUCAGAUCAGGAAAUAGAAAGUGUAAGUAGCUUCCACGAUUGAUAUUACUAUAUGUAGGAUAUAGGAUGAAUGAGCAACUGACUCUAAUAAAAAAAUAAAAUAAAAUUUACCGGGAAAAAUAACAAAGCUAAUCUCCAAUAAAGUAUAUUCAAGUAGUCGUGGAAGGGUUUGAAGUUAUGAUUCAAACAAGGGAGGAAGAUGAAAACACUGUUAGAGAAAUUGUGUGAGAAUCAAGAUCUAUAAUUACUUUUCCUCACUCUCUCUCUCUUCAACCUCCACCACUAAUCUACUAUUAUUCAAUCGCCUCAGACCCCAAAACAACCCAGGAGAACUUUCACAAUGCAAUUCAACAACUCCUCCACCUGCUCUGCCGACCUUGCUACCGUCGGCGAGGACUUGCCGGUCGACUACGCCGACUGGCUUCCCAAGUCCCAUCCUAGCGACCGCAGAAGAGCCGGCGUCCUCCUCCACCCGACGUCAUUUCCCGGACCCUACGGCAUCGGAGAUCUUGGCGACCAGACCUUUCGCUUCCUUGAUUGGCUUCACGAACUGGUUCCUCUUGUUCCUCCAGGGAGGAAGGCUAAUGAAGAGGGUUUCCCAUACUCUGGACAGGUUGAAGCUCUGGCUUUUCCUCGCUUAUGUUGUAUCUUUUGUCUCUCUAGCGGCUUCAGUAGGUUUAUUAAUUCAAAAUUCAAUUGUGAAAACAGGCCCUUCAGCGUCAACAAGAACUGCAGGUGUUUUGCAGUGUGUGUUCGUGUUUAUCAGUGGACUGAUUUAUUGGACUUCUCAUUCUGAGUAAGCCGGGGCAAAUCAAAAUGUCUUACAGUUUGGAGCUGAAACUAUCACUUCAGGGAUUCUUUCAUGCACAACUUUGCUACUUCAGGAUUGGAUGAUUGAAACUAUAAGACAUUUUGAUUCUGGGUUGGGGGAGAUGAAGCUAUAUGUUACUUUUUCCACAUGUCCAGAUUUUGUUAUGUUCCUCUGCAAUUCCAUUGUGGGUAGGACCGCAAACGAGCAAGUCUGCUUUUGACUGUUUAACCUCGAGUUCCACAACCAAAAUUUUAAGUUUGAAUCAAGUUGAGAAUUAAUUUUGAUUUUGGUGUAUGUUUUUUUUUUAAGUACUGUAACAGUAAACAAUGGCAUAUUUGGUAAAAAUAUUUUGUUUUCUAAA
Cornus florida is the source of this 1267-nucleotide RNA transcript. It is a transcript of the gene named 4-alpha-glucanotransferase, chloroplastic/amyloplastic-like, with no coding region annotated. The record is from RefSeq and is a predicted model, not a curated record. The transcript is spliced from 4 exons. NCBI's taxonomy places the organism in Eukaryota, Viridiplantae, Streptophyta, Magnoliopsida, Cornales, Cornaceae.